AGUGAACGCUGGCGGUAGGCCUAACACAUGCAAGUCGAACGGCAGCACAGUAAGAGCUUGCUCUUACGGGUGGCGAGUGGCGGACGGGUGAGGAAUACAUCGGAAUCUACUUUUUCAUGGGGGAUAACGUAGGGAAACUUACGCUAAUACCGCAUACGACCUACGGGUGAAAGCAGGGGAUCUUCGGACCUUGCGCGAUUGAAUGAGCCGAUGUCGGAUUAGCUAGUUGGCGGGGUAAAGGCCCACCAAGGCGACGAUCCGUAGCUGGUCUGAGAGGAUGAUCAGCCACACUGGAACUGAGACACGGUCCAGACUCCUACGGGGGGCAGCAGUGGGGAAUAUUGGACAAUGGGCGCAAGCCUGAUCCAGCCAUACCGCGUGGGUGAAGAAGGCCUUCGGGUUGUAAAGCCCUUUUGUUGGGAAAGAAAAGCAGCAGGUUAAUACCCCGCUGUUCUGACGGUACCCAAAGAAUAAGCACCGGCUAACUUCGUG
RNAcentral lists this ribosomal RNA (492 nucleotides) under uncultured bacterium. Its description in RNAcentral is "partial 16S ribosomal RNA". It matches the Rfam family "Bacterial small subunit ribosomal RNA", at positions 29 to 507 of the family's 1533-position model. The record is from RNAcentral.